This 75-nucleotide transfer RNA is filed under the name Arenimonas sp. Its description in RNAcentral is "tRNA-Val". It matches the Rfam family "tRNA". Rfam says of the family: Transfer RNA (tRNA) molecules are approximately 80 nucleotides in length. Their secondary structure includes four short double-helical elements and three loops (D, anti-codon, and T loops). Further hydrogen bonds mediate the characteristic L-shaped molecular structure. tRNAs have two regions of fundamental functional importance: the anti-codon, which is responsible for specific mRNA codon recognition, and the 3' end, to which the tRNAs corresponding amino acid is attached (by aminoacyl-tRNA synthetases). tRNAs cope with the degeneracy of the genetic code in two manners: having more than one tRNA (with a specific anti-codon) for a particular amino acid; and 'wobble' base-pairing, i.e. permitting non-standard base-pairing at the 3rd anti-codon position. Lineage: Bacteria; Pseudomonadati; Pseudomonadota; Gammaproteobacteria; Lysobacterales; Lysobacteraceae. The record is from RNAcentral.
GGGCAAUUAGCUCAGCGGUAGAGCACUUCCUUGACAUGGAAGGGGUCACAGGUUCGAUCCCUGUAUCGCCCACCA